Penaeus chinensis is the source of this 4563-nucleotide long non-coding RNA. RefSeq lists it as uncharacterized. The record is from RefSeq and is a predicted model, not a curated record. Lineage: Eukaryota; Metazoa; Arthropoda; Malacostraca; Decapoda; Penaeidae. The transcript has 2 exons.
AAAAGAAAAAAUGCAUAAUAAAACCAGUUUUGAAGUGAUAAUAAAAAGGCAAUGAUAGAAAAUGAAAUGGGUCAGAAAUAAAUGCGUACUCUGAAAAGGAUUAGAUCCUUUAACUGAUGAAUUUCAGCUCUGUCACUGAUAAUUUGACACUAGCUACAAGUAUAAAGCUCCUUUAUAUACUAUCAAGUAACUGUCUUCAAGUUACAUGCUUCCCAGUGUUGGUUUCAUCACGAUGCCUGAACACUCCAGGUGACGUCAUAUAAGACUGAUAGAAGGACCUCGACUGCAGAAGAAAGGGUCCAUUGUGAGUGCAGAAACUUCAGUGUAAUCCUAGGUAGUCUGCAGAAUAGAAAAGAAAGCUGUCCUAAAUACAUUAUUCAGAUGUACUAAGUGGACUGAUUGUAACUUGAAUACUCUAGUGUUACUUAUGAUUGAAUACUACUGGAUAAAUCUUGCACUGGACAGAACAAAAAGAUGAUAUAUAACUUUCAUUUGAUCAGUUUUCAUUACAGUGAAAUUUGAUCCAUUUGUAAUUUUUUCUACGGUGUAAGGCGUAAGAAGGAGUCAUUGUAACAUUCCAGUUCACUUUAUCCAGCAGGAUAUCUAAAUGAUAUGGAAUGCCUCAGGAGUCAGUCCAUAAUUAUUACUGAGAAUCAAUGACUGUGUUGUGUCUUGUUUUCUGGUAUGACAGAAACUCAUUCCUAAUAUCUAAUUAAAAACAGUGGUUCCGAGAUAUUUUAUUGAAUGGUAACUUAUUCAUAAAAGCAAAUACUUUGGAGAAAACAGACAUGUCUGCAGCUUUAUUCCCACUCUUGCAAUGAGAUACCAAAGAAAUUAGAACUAUUUACUAUAUUCCAAAGUUAUCAUUCAAACAUUUUGCAGUCCUUUAGUAACACUACGCCUUUUCACCAUGAAAAAUCAUAGUUUAGUAAUGAAGAAAAAUUCAAUAAUUAUUUUGAAGUGUAUAAGGAUACCAGAUGGACCCAUAACAAAGAAACUACUUUCAGAAUUUGCACCUACUACAAACUAAACAAAAUUCAUAUCAUCCUUCAUUAUGAAAUUCUUUAAUGCUACCAUUUGUAUGUGACAAACAAAAGGUAUAUACUAUAUAAACUUUUCUCUUCAUGUAUGAUAGUGAGAUGUUACAAUAGUUCUGUUUUGUAAAAAUGUACUGUACAUAACUUAAGUGUAUAGGAACAAAGGCAAUCAUAAGAAUCCGUCAGCUUGUGUUUUGGAUGGACUACAGAUGUUGUGGCUGUCCAAAAGAAAAAAGUAUAAAAUGUUAUGAUCUAUUCAAUCCUUCACAAGUAAGAAGUAAUGAAGUGUAAAGUUGUACCAGAACAUUUGUUGCAUUUAACUUCUCCAUAAAACACCACUGUAGUUUUAAGAUGAGCAGAACCUUAUUUGAUUUUGGGAGUGCAUUAGAUGAAACAGGACAUAUUGUACAUUGGGAAUAUAUUUUGCAGCAAAUCAUUUCAUAUAAAAAAGAUCAUCUAAAAAAAUCUUUAUCUAAUAACAAGCCAUCAAAACUAGAGUUACCACCAAACUUGCUUGUAAAUAAAACUCACUAUAUUUUCUCACAGAGUAGAACAUUAUGUAUAAAGCUACAAACAACCAUCCAAUUAGACACUUAAGUGAACUUCAUAAAUUAGGCUCUUUGGGCAAGCAGGCUUUGUUCCUGUUUUUGGGUAUUUCAUGAAUGAUUAAAGUGAAAAUCCAUAUUGGUGCACAAGGAAAGCAAGCAUCUACAAACACAGUUAGGCCAAGGUGCUAUUAGGGAUCCCACAGGGGAGGGAAGGUGUGCUUGGAAUUUCAAAACCUAUUUUGAAGCUCCUUUAAAGAUUCUGGAAAGGCUACUGUUAUACAUGACAGCUAGGGAGUCACCAGCUUCUACAGACAUGUUUUAUGUCAGGUACUAUUACUUGAGAUUAAAUAAGACUACAUGUUACUGGCUGUUAAAUCUGAUGCAUCCCCUUGUUGAGGUUUCUAAAUAUGGUUGACAGUGUGUGAAACAUCGUAAUAUUAUUUUGGAAUGUAUAUAAAAAGCUUGUUCCCAAAUGAAGCUUCAAUCAGCCUUUGUAGAAUAUAGACAAUAUUUUAUUUGAGUGAAUUUAUUGUCCUUAUAUAAUCUUAGGGCACUGAAAGGUUAUUCCUGCCAUUCAGAGUGCAUUACUCAAGAUCAUAUAAACCAUUCUUACUCAAACCAAGUUUCUUUUGAAGAAUGUUGGGAAUAACCAAUGAUAGUUACUCUGCACAUACAGCAUUUAUAUGUCUUGACUAUGUUCUCAUGACAUAAAAGAAUUAAGUACUUUCUUUGCUCAUGAACAUGUGAUACCAGAGGAACAGUGUGUCUUCAACUUUUGCAAUAACCAGAUGUUUGGAGUGUGUCAGCAUUCAGGUGUGUGUGUGACAGCAACUUCAUUGACCUUCAUUUUCACCCAUUGUUGUUCUUGGAAUGGUACCAUAUAUUCCAAUCUUAAGCUGUAUCAUGGCCAUCUUUUCGUCCAGCAUAAGAUUUUGUGUAAUUAUUUUCUGUCUGUUUCCUUAUUCAGCUGUGCAAAUGGCAACUGUGAUGAAUGGAGAUCAAAACACUGUAUGAGGUAUGUUUUAUAUGAAAUCAGGCACUGAUAUUGUAUCUGGUCUACUUCUCUCUUUUCAGUAGAUGUUGGCAUUCUCUAAAAACAAUAUAUAUUCUCCAAAGAGAUCAUACUUUCUGACAGCAGUGAAGGAUGUUGGUAUUCCUGUGUAUGAUGCUUACCAACAAGCCUUCCAUCUUACUAUAAUUUUUGCAAGCUUCUAACUGUAGAUCUAUAUUAAUAGAGCAGUUUAACGUUGUCAAAAGUAUGCAAUUAUAAUCUCUUCAUACUUACAGUUGAUGGGGUUGAAUAUUUCUUAACCAAGCUUCUUUGUAUAUGAAAGAAAGAUUUUUAAGAAAAUAAUUUACGGCUGUGAGGAAGUUAUCCAAAAUCAUAUGAAGCCAGCUGCUUAGUUAGAAUCUAUUAGCAAAACAUAUGAAUAGGAUUAUCAAUAAUUCUGUAUUGUAAAGUCCUGUGUAUCUUAUAGGUCCGUGUACAAUAGCAGAAAGGCAUGCGCAAUACAUUGAAAUCAUUUAUGAUCAAUAAUGCUGCUCCCAGCAAUUUGGCUUAUGUUGGCCUUUUGGAGAUCUACCUAAAAUGUAUUGUAAAAUCACCAGCUUCUUGUACCAGCAUUUAGAUAGCAGCAAUAGUGCUCUGUUCUAGAUAUGUGUAUUAAGUAUAAUUACUACCUUGCCUGGGUAAAUUUACAGCUGGCUUCAAAGGCAAUUUUUUUUUUUUUUUUUUUUUUUUUUUAAUCUAUGUCAAAAGUAAGGAAUGCAGCAAACAGCUGUUUAUUAUAGAAGGAGAAGAGAACAGGAAAAAAGUUGGUACAGUAAUCAAUAUUUAUUAAUAUAUGGCUUGAAACAGUAAUAAAAAUGCAACAGUAACAUGUGUCCCCCACUAAGUUGUUUCUGCCAUGAAAAACUUUUUUAUCUUGCCUUCCAACAUACUGAGAGGAAAGCAUCUGCAUCAGCACCUGACAGAAAACUUGGUCAAAGAUACAUAUACAUUUUUACUCCAGUAGGGUGGUCUUGGAUGGUUGGUUGGUAGAGUUACCAAUUAUCCAGGUUUAUAUUAUUUGUCAAAAUAUGCCCUCUUUCCUUGAACCACUGUGAACAUUUGAAAAUGUAAAAGGUGUGUGUAAAUGAUAAAUAAUGUAACUUUAAAUCUUAAUGUGACACAGGAAGCUGUUUCCUUGCACUGAUAUAUGUGGAAUUUUUAAGGAAAAUGUUACACUGGUUUUAGCUACAAUACCAUUAUUCAGUCUAUAGUAUACUAUGUAUUUAAUAGAGAUAUGGUAAUCUUGUGUGUAGAAGAACCACUUUAUAAAACCAAAAUAGGUUUUGAAAAAGAUGUUAACAAACAUGAUGUAUGAAAUAGCAUUACCUAUAAGGAAGUACAUAAAUAUCUUUGGGGAAAUUGUGAAUGAUUGUAUGAAGAUUUUAAAUUCUUUUGGGUUUUGCUUUUCCUCCUCAGCUCACUGCAGAAAUGAGGUUGUUUGAUUGAAAUUAGCCCCACUGGUUGUUGGAUGUUGAUCUAAUGUAACUGUAGGAGGGUAAAUUUAAACAGCUUUUAUGAUAUUUGGUCAAGGGUUGAUAGUGUGGAUGAUACUAAGGGUCUUAUAAGAGCAUUUUCUUGUGUAUCUAAGCUGUCUAAAUAGACUAACCCAAACAUUAUCAAUUACACUGUGGACAUAAAGUCCAUGAGUUUGUUUUCAGAAUUUCUAAACUAAAUGAUAAAAGUGAUCCAUGUUCCCAUAAGUUUUAUGCAGAUGGUUACUGUGAAGUGGUGACUUUAAUGGAAAAAAUGCAGAUUCUCUUAGAUUCUUUAUUUCUAGAAAUUAAGAAUAAGAAUUUAUUUCAUGUUGUUCAUAAUGAGAAACUAUAAAUCAGUUGAAGAAGUUCUACACUGGAUACACUCACAUAUAUUUUUAUUUGUAGAUUCUGUGAGAUAUUUAUCUGAAUCAAGCAUUAAAAAGUAAAACUUG